GAGCGGCGGACGGGUGAGUAAUGUCUGGGAAACUGCCUGAUGGAGGGGGAUAACUACUGGAAACGGUAGCUAAUACCGCAUAACGUCGCAAGACCAAAGAGGGGGACCUUCGGGCCUCUUGCCAUCAGAUGUGCCCAGAUGGGAUUAGCUAGUAGGUGGGGUAACGGCUCACCUAGGCGACGAUCCCUAGCUGGUCUGAGAGGAUGACCAGCCACACUGGAACUGAGACACGGUCCAGACUCCUACGGGAGGCAGCAGUGGGGAAUAUUGCACAAUGGGCGCAAGCCUGAUGCAGCCAUGCCGCGUGUAUGAAGAAGGCCUUCGGGUUGUAAAGUACUUUCAGCGGGGAGGAAGGCGCUGAGGCUAAUAACCUCAGCGAUUGACGUUACCCGCAGAAGAAGCACCGGCUAACUCCGUGCCAGCAGCCGCGGUAAUACGGAGGGUGCAAGCGUUAAUCGGAAUUACUGGGCGUAAAGCGCACGCAGGCGGUCUGUCAAGUCGGAUGUGAAAUCCCCGGGCUCAACCUGGGAACUGCAUUCGAAACUGGCAGGCUAGAGUCUUGUAGAGGGGGGUAGAAUUCCAGGUGUAGCGGUGAAAUGCGUA
Molecule: ribosomal RNA, 603 nt
Filed under: Enterobacter sp. E03_51_27F_1072985_023
Lineage: Bacteria; Pseudomonadati; Pseudomonadota; Gammaproteobacteria; Enterobacterales; Enterobacteriaceae
Description: bacterial SSU rRNA
Rfam family: Bacterial small subunit ribosomal RNA
Source: RNAcentral